CCCUGCCAUUUGUACACACCGCCCGUCGCUCCUACCGAUUGAAUGUUAAGGCGAACACUCCGGAAUCGUGGCCUUGAUUGGGCAACCUUUCAUGGCCAAUCGAUGAAGUUGUGUAAGCCUUGACAUUU
This 128-nucleotide ribosomal RNA is filed under the name uncultured eukaryote. RNAcentral's name for it is "partial small subunit ribosomal RNA". It matches the Rfam family "Eukaryotic small subunit ribosomal RNA", at positions 1651 to 1774 of the family's 1831-position model. The record is from RNAcentral.